UGGGGAAUAUUGCACAAUGGGGGAAACCCUGAUGCAGCGACGCCGCGUGAGCGAAGAAGUAUUUCGGUAUGUAAAGCUCUAUCAGCAGGAAAGAAAAUGACGGUACCUGACUAAGAAGCUCCGGCUAAAUACGUGCCAGCAGCCGCGGUAAUACGUAUGGAGCAAGCGUUAUCCGGAUUUACUGGGUGUAAAGGGAGCGCAGGCGGUCUGGCAAGUCUGGUGUGAAAGGCCGGGGCUCAACCCCGGGACUGCAUUGGAAACUGUCAGACUGGAGUGUCGGAGAGGCAAGCGGAAUUCCUAGUG
RNAcentral lists this ribosomal RNA (303 nucleotides) under uncultured bacterium. RNAcentral's name for it is "bacterial SSU rRNA". It matches the Rfam family "Bacterial small subunit ribosomal RNA", at positions 355 to 675 of the family's 1533-position model. The record is from RNAcentral.